ACCUAGCACCGAAGAAGUAGAACGGCUGGAGACCUUGCGGUGACUACAGAAUGCUCAACGCACGUACAAUCCCUGACCGGUAUCCGGUUCGUCACAUCCAGGACUUCGCUCACAGUCUUUCGGGAUAUGUUGAGCUAGAAGCAUUCCAGACCUGUAAAAGAUGUCUUGAAGAUGCAGCUACGCUAGCACACCCGGACUUCGAGGCUAAGUUGGCAGUAGUUACGGAUGCAUCUGACAAAGCAAUUGGUGCAGUCCUCCAGCAGCUCAAAGAAGGCUUGCGCAAACAGGUUUUUGACAGUCUCCAUUCAUUGAGUCACCCUGAAGCUAAUGCUACAGCUACUUUGGUCGCUGAAGGGUUUGUGUGGCCCGGAGUUAGGAAGCAAUGCAGAGACUGGGUUCGUUGUUGUUUAGCUUGUCAACGUUCUUAGUUUACACGUCACGUGUCUUCGCCGUUAGGUCAUUUUAAACUACCACAAUCUAGGCUCUCAUUUGUACACAUUGACCUCUUGGUCCACUAUCUAUAGCUAACGGCUAUCGCUAUUGUCUCACCGCCGUCGAUAGAUUCACACGUUGGCCUGAGGCAAUACCUUUAGUUGAUGUAUCUGCCGAA
This is a long non-coding RNA of Leptidea sinapis, 610 nucleotides long. RefSeq lists it as uncharacterized. Lineage: Eukaryota; Metazoa; Arthropoda; Insecta; Lepidoptera; Pieridae. The record is from RefSeq and is a predicted model, not a curated record. The transcript is spliced from 3 exons.